Molecule: transfer RNA, 68 nt
Filed under: marine eukaryotic metagenome
Rfam family: tRNA
About the family: Transfer RNA (tRNA) molecules are approximately 80 nucleotides in length. Their secondary structure includes four short double-helical elements and three loops (D, anti-codon, and T loops).
Source: RNAcentral
GGAUGUAGCUCAGUUGGUAGAGCAUCGGUCUCCAAAACCGAAGGCCAAGGGUUCGAGCCCCUUCGUCC